GCGGCAGUAGCUCAGUGGUGAAGCCCCAGCUUCGCAUGCUGGGAGAGCUGGGUUCGAUUCCCGGCUGCUUCC
Molecule: transfer RNA, 72 nt
Filed under: Toxocara canis (dog roundworm)
Lineage: Eukaryota; Metazoa; Nematoda; Chromadorea; Rhabditida; Toxocaridae
Rfam family: tRNA
About the family: Transfer RNA (tRNA) molecules are approximately 80 nucleotides in length. Their secondary structure includes four short double-helical elements and three loops (D, anti-codon, and T loops).
Source: Rfam by way of RNAcentral